This 1494-nucleotide ribosomal RNA is filed under the name Lacticaseibacillus paracasei. Its description in RNAcentral is "bacterial SSU rRNA". It matches the Rfam family "Bacterial small subunit ribosomal RNA". The record is from RNAcentral. Lineage: Bacteria; Bacillati; Bacillota; Bacilli; Lactobacillales; Lactobacillaceae.
GAUGAACGCUGGCGGCGUGCCUAAUACAUGCAAGUCGAACGAGUUCUCGUUGAUGAUCGGUGCUUGCACCGAGAUUCAACAUAGAACGAGUGGCGGACGGGUGAGUAACACGUGGGUAACCUGCCCUUAAGUGGGGGAUAACAUUUGGAAACAGAUGCUAAUACCGCAUAGAUCCAAGAACCGCAUGGUUCUUGGCUGAAAGAUGGCGUAAGCUAUCGCUUUUGGAUGGACCCGCGGCGUAUUAGCUAGUUGGUGAGGUAAUGGCUCACCAAGGCGAUGAUACGUAGCCGAACUGAGAGGUUGAUCGGCCACAUUGGGACUGAGACACGGCCCAAACUCCUACGGGAGGCAGCAGUAGGGAAUCUUCCACAAUGGACGCAAGUCUGAUGGAGCAACGCCGCGUGAGUGAAGAAGGCUUUCGGGUCGUAAAACUCUGUUGUUGGAGAAGAAUGGUCGGCAGAGUAACUGUUGUCGGCGUGACGGUAUCCAACCAGAAAGCCACGGCUAACUACGUGCCAGCAGCCGCGGUAAUACGUAGGUGGCAAGCGUUAUCCGGAUUUAUUGGGCGUAAAGCGAGCGCAGGCGGUUUUUUAAGUCUGAUGUGAAAGCCCUCGGCUUAACCGAGGAAGCGCAUCGGAAACUGGGAAACUUGAGUGCAGAAGAGGACAGUGGAACUCCAUGUGUAGCGGUGAAAUGCGUAGAUAUAUGGAAGAACACCAGUGGCGAAGGCGGCUGUCUGGUCUGUAACUGACGCUGAGGCUCGAAAGCAUGGGUAGCGAACAGGAUUAGAUACCCUGGUAGUCCAUGCCGUAAACGAUGAAUGCAAGGGGUGUUGGAGGGUUUCCGCCCUUCAGUGCCGCAGCUAACGCAUUAAGCAUUCCGCCUGGGGAGUACGACCGCAAGGUUGAAACUCAAAGGAAUUGACGGGGGCCCGCACAAGCGGUGGAGCAUGUGGUUUAAUUCGAAGCAACGCGAAGAACCUUACCAGGUCUUGACAUCUUUUGAUCACCUGAGAGAUCAGGUUUCCCCUUCGGGGGCAAAAUGACAGGUGGUGCAUGGUUGUCGUCAGCUCGUGUCGUGAGAUGUUGGGUUAAGUCCCGCAACGAGCGCAACCCUUAUGACUAGUUGCCAGCAUUUAGUUGGGCACUCUAGUAAGACUGCCGGUGACAAACCGGAGGAAGGUGGGGAUGACGUCAAAUCAUCAUGCCCCUUAUGACCUGGGCUACACACGUGCUACAAUGGAUGGUACAACGAGUUGCGAGACCGCGAGGUCAAGCUAAUCUCUUAAAGCCAUUCUCAGUUCGGACUGUAGGCUGCAACUCGCCUACACGAAGUCGGAAUCGCUAGUAAUCGCGGAUCAGCACGCCGCGGUGAAUACGUUCCCGGGCCUUGUACACACCGCCCGUCACACCAUGAGAGUUUGUAACACCCGAAGCCGGUGGCGUAACCCUUUUAGGGAGCGAGCCGUCUAAGGUGGGACAAAUGAUUAGGGUG